AGCCGAAAGCUUUAUCGACC
RNAcentral lists this small nuclear RNA (20 nucleotides) under Arabidopsis thaliana (thale cress). Its description in RNAcentral is "snRNA_14194". Lineage: Eukaryota; Viridiplantae; Streptophyta; Magnoliopsida; Brassicales; Brassicaceae. The record is from RNAcentral.